CAGGACCAUUAAACAUACGUAUGUGGAUUGCGAAGUAGCGUAGAAAAACCUCAAGGGCUCCAGCCCAGUGACUAUGGAAGAGAGACAGAGAAUGGAGAAGUAGAUUGAAAGAUAAACUUGAAUGAAGAUGACGAUCUUUUGAAUAGAGAAAUAAGCUUUGAUGCGGUUGAAGAUUAGAGAAACUAGAAGAAGAGGGAUUAGAAUGAAAGCGAAAGAGACUACAGAAGCAACGGUGGACGCAUAUCUGUUGCCAACUAUUGGCUUGAACCCUUUAGCCAUUUCAUUGUUUGCUUUUGUGAGGUAUUUUUUGGACGUCAUUGAGAUCUUCUCAAUGUCUGGCAUGAGAGAUUGUUGAAAUUUGGAUGGUAGAUCUCUGAACUCAGCGACCAAGUUAUCCUCCACUUCUUGAUCUAGCCAACUGGGUUGUUUCUGUGCCUGGGUGGUCUUCUUCUGGUUAUUUGGUUUUUUCUCUGUGGUUUGUUUUUGGGAUUCAGAAUCACUCACAAGGAUUUGGGAUCCUUUCUUUGAAAUGGAUUUUGAUGUUUUGUUCUUGGUUGAGCCUAAUUUGAGUAGAUCUGAAGUUUUUUUAGUAGAGGCAGAAGCUUUUGAUGAGAAAUUGAGCUUCUUCAGCUGGGAAUUGGAAUUGAGCUUCUUAAGCUCAGUCUUGGGUAAGAUAGAAAGAGCUGCUUUUGUUGAAUUUGUAGAUUUUGUAAUCUUGGUCUGGUUCUUGGAGGAUAAGCUAGUCCUAAGGAGCUUAGUUUGGUUUUUUGGAGCAAUAUUUGGUUUGAUUACCUUGGUUUGAUUCUUGGAAGAUAAAUUAGUACCUUUUUUCUUGGGAAGCUGAUCUUGAUCGUUUUCCACCUCUAACAUUCUUCUUCUACC
Molecule: unclassified non-coding RNA, 882 nt
Filed under: Hevea brasiliensis (rubber tree)
Lineage: Eukaryota; Viridiplantae; Streptophyta; Magnoliopsida; Malpighiales; Euphorbiaceae
Source: RNAcentral